GGGCUCAUGAUGGCAGCACAUAUACUCACAUUAGAAUGAUAUAGAGAAGACUAGCAUGGCCCUUGCACAAGAGCGACACAUACAUUUCGUGAAGUGUUCCGUAUGUAA
Echinops telfairi (small Madagascar hedgehog) is the source of this 108-nucleotide small nuclear RNA. The record is from Ensembl. Lineage: Eukaryota; Metazoa; Chordata; Mammalia; Afrosoricida; Tenrecidae.